ACAAUGAUGGCUGCAAAAGUCUUAAAAUCCCAACAGCUCACUUGUGCCGGGUCCUGCAAACUGGUUUGUUAAUGUGAUGUCUGACUAACUCUCAUUCAAAGAAGCAGGGGUGCUUUGCAUACAAUAUCUGCUUCUGAAUGUCUCUUGGAGGAAGUUCUGUGUGUGUGAUGUUUGCAAAGGCAGCUCAUCAUCCUCCCACCACCCCCACCACAGACAGGCUGUACAACUGCUCUGCAUGCUUUUUCACAAAUCUGCAGAGAGCCAGCAAGAAUACUAAACUCUGCUUGGCUGAGCCUUUGUUGAGCAGCCACAAUGCAUGGUCUGUUCCUCCCAGACUCAUUUGGAUCCUGAAAAGCACAUUCUUGAAGGAACUCAACUUUCUUCAUAGUGUCGAAAGGAUGCUUUAUUCUGGUGAAAGCUGCCGGAUUGACCAAGUGACAUGGACUUGAUCUAGCUCUCCCCAGAAUAAGAAGUGAAUAGGCAGUAGCCAAGCAAAGCCUAAUUCUGAACUCUUACUAGUUUGACACUGUUGUGACUCAACUGAAGUCAAUGGUCAGAGGAUAAUUGGGCCUAUGCUGGGGAGAGCACUUGAGUUCAGAUGCUGGUUUGUAGUUUUUGCUUUUGAUUUUUGGCCUAAGUGAGUUAAAGGGACACAAGUUAAUAAUUUGAAAUGACCUUGUCUCAGUUACUAAUAAAAUUAGGAAAAACACAUUUUAAUUCACUUCUUGCUGUCUUUUCUCAACACUGAAAAUAGACUAGUCAGUAUUUUAAGUUUCUGGCCAGUUUUAAAGGUGUGUGCUACAGCGCUACCACAAUCUUUGAGCUUUUGUUUAAUCAAAACCAAAGAUCCCCUUCCCCAUUGUUAAGAUACUUAAGUACUGCCGAGUGUCGCAUCCAGCACAGAGCACUUUGGAUCUGGCUCUUGCCCUGAGCAGUUUUGGGUUUUUUAUGAAGCCUAAAUUUUGGGCCCAACUUGAUAUGAGCAUUGCUUUUUGCCACAGUAAGAGCUAACGUCAUGAAGCCAAGCUUAACAUACUGCUCCCUGACCAUAUAUUAGCAGGCCUUCAGUCCUACUAUUCCCUGGUAUGUUGCAGUGCUGUCCUUGGGAUCUGUUCCAGGGACAUCGGGGAGUGGUUUCAUGUUCAAUGUGCAAAUCUUUCAAACUUUGCAAAACUUCUGGUGCGUCUCUACACAGUGGGUGGGUGGGUGAGGAGGGAGCGUCCCAGCCUCCAGAUGCAGUGCUGCAGAUGUGAAAAGGAAGAGUCAGUCCUUACGGAUUCGCACAGGGCCUUGGCUCAGUAGUUGUUCAGUUGCAGAGGUUCCUUAUGGGGACUGUACAGCUCUCUGUGCCUGCUAGAAGUACCUGCAUGGGCCCUGUGUGUGAUGGAGGGCAUAGGCCAGUUGGAAUACCGCUGGGAUUUCUGAGUGCCUUGGCUCCAGGUAGGAAGCCAGGCUGCUGACACAGCCAUUGGACCCUCUUCAAACAUUUUCUAGGUUCUGCUCAACUAGAGGUGAAACAGUCAAGCCACAUAUGAGUAGACAGGAAUAACAUGUUGACCUUGCUGUCUGUUAAUAGCGAAACCAGAUCUGUUAAUGUUCAAUGGGUGCUCAUUCAGUUUAUUUAAUUACAUUUCAGUGUCUAUAGAGCAUGCACUACUGUAUCUGAUCACUGUUUACUUUGGAUUAGGGUUUCUUGUAAUGAAGCAUUUUAAACUGUGGGUGCGCACAGCAAUCUGACUUCUCAAACAUUGGAAGAGUAAUUAAAAUAACAAAUGAAUAAAAAUCCCUCCCCUGCACAUGAAAUGUUUAUGCUGGAGGGGCUUUGGAGCUGUGGCUACUCCCUGGUUGUGCAUUCAGCACACAGCUAGUCUGUGCUAAACAUCAGAUUGUUUUUGUUACCAAUCUGUGCUCUCCCACCCGAUUGUUUUCUCCUCCAUAUUACACCUAAUCUGUAAGCCCUUUGGGGGCAGGGAUGGUUCCUACAUUUCAGAUUUCCUGGCAUAGUAGGGCCCCGAUCUGGCUGACUCCCUUAAGUGUCACCACAAGAUAAAUGAUUGAUCAAAUUUUGGAUGGUUGAAAACAGGAUAGACCCACAUAACCCAGUUUGGAAAACUGCAGUCUGAUCUUUAGGACAGAAAUAUCCCCAAGAGCGGACGGCAUCACAUGCAGCACAAAUAAACACAAGCUCUCUUGUUUCCAAGUAGCUGUGGGAAAGUUUCUUUACAAUUGCUCUGCAUCCCCACUCCCCUGCCCCUCGCUUCUUUUCAUGGGUAGCUAUAAUGAAAGUUCAUGUUACUAUUUUCUUUGGGUAUAAAGUGGGGGGGGGGGAAUUUUUCUUGUCCUGCCCUCCAAGCCAGAGGAGUAGAGUAUGUACAAGUUUAAAAAGUUUCUCCUGGGACACACAUGAGCACAUUUCACACUGCUGCAGAGGAAGAUAGUACUCUGAGCUAGUGCGACUAGCUAGUGCAGGGGAUAGUCAUGCUGAUGUUUCAGAAGCUCUGCUGGUCUGGCGGAGGUGGUCACAGCUAGCAUUAUAGACUGAUUCAGAUGUCAGUUGGUCGAAGGCUUUAAAGAGCAACUGAUGACUCUUGGAAAACUUGGGGAAAAAACACUUAGUUUGAGGACCAUCCUGCUUUUUCCUUUCCUAGAUUGGUAACAUGCAUGCAGACAAGAUCUCCAUGUGACUGUGGCUUUUGAUGUGUAGAACUCCAGUGGAAAAUAAGGAGCAGGAUCUUACAAAACUGAUCAUGGUAUCACACUAGGGUCUCUGGGGCACAGUGGUGGGAAGGCUUGACUCAAAAGUUCAAGUUUCCAUCGGGCUUCUGUGGCUGAAGCAAAGUGAAACUUUAAAACAACGAAAAAACCCAAACCCAAUGACUAAAUUUAAACUCCAGCGUCAUUUAAGCACUGUUCUUCUUUCUGUUCUGACUCACUAAAGCAUUUUACAAAAUCCCUUCAAAUCUCCCUGUUUCUGCCCCCAUGUGCACUUGAUAUUUUGGUACCAACAACAUCUAAAAGCUCUUACUAGAGAAUCUUAUCCAACAUACAGGCUUUUGAAAAUAUCCGUUCUGUACAUCGUGACCCCCUCCUGAAGGGAGAAUGACCAGCUUGUUGCACGCAGCGUAUUCAUGGGUGUUCAUGUGUUGGGAGAAGUGUGGUGGGUUGUUAGAGCCACCCCCAGAAUAGCUAGAGUUUGCAUUAGGGUUCAGAGAAUAAUAAAAAUAACUAGCUCCUAUAUAGGGCUUUGCAUCAUUAGCUUUCAGUGCUUUCUAAAGGAGGUCAGUAUGGUACCAUCACUGUCUUAUAGAUGGGGAACCUGAGGUAAAGGAAGGGGAAGUGACUCAUCCAAGGUCACCCAGCUGGCCAGAGGCAGGAAUAGAUCCUAGGAGUUCUGAAUUCCAGCCUAGUGCCUUAUCCACUAGGCCAUACUGACUCAAAAGGGAUGCGUGGGACCAGAUCUUGUGUCUCAAAGCUAUUGGGACAAAUUAAUCUGUGGUAUAACACCACUGAAUUCCCUGGAGUUACACCAGGGCCUAAUCUGUCCCCUUGUGUCUCUCUAAACUUGGGGAGGCAAACUGCAUCAGUUCAUAUUUGUGAGGCUCUCUGCAACCCUACGGACUU
Long non-coding RNA from Dermochelys coriacea (leatherback sea turtle), 3621 nucleotides. RefSeq lists it as uncharacterized. NCBI's taxonomy places the organism in Eukaryota, Metazoa, Chordata, Testudines, Dermochelyidae. The transcript is spliced from 2 exons. The record is from RefSeq and is a predicted model, not a curated record.